GUCCUCCAGAUCAGAGGCAGUAGGGAUGACCAGGGAUGUUCUCUGUUUAGUGAGUCCUCCAGAUCAGAGGCAGUAGGGAUGACCAGGGAUGUUCUCUCGCUAAAUAUAGACUUAGCUUUCAUUCGACAUACAAUUUGACAUGCUUCUAUGACCUUGACAUGUUGGUGCUCAUGGGUCCUUUUUACAUGGAAAUGCCCUAACCUAUUAGAGCCAUACUAAGCUAGCAGUUUCAUCAAGCUCUCCAAAAUAAUGAUAUCAAUGUUUCAAAGUUCAUCAAAAACAACCGUUGGCAACAUGAGGUAAGUAGUUAAAGAACAACGUUAUUACCAAUAAUGCUAACAAUGCUAACAAAGGCAUAAGACUUAAUGGAGAGCGCUAAAGUACCGUAUGCAGAAGAGAAACACUUUUCAGGCCACUCCAAUAAAGAACAGACUUAAGUUAGGAGAAUAAACACAGCAGGUUAGGAGAAUAAACACAGCAGGUUAGGAGAAUAAACACAGCAGGUUAGGAGAACUUACGCAGCAGGUUAGGAGAAUAAACACAGCAGGUUAGGAGAAUGAGGUUUAAGUUUAUGAAAAAGGUUAGCUCUCCUGACCUGCUCCAACGAAAAUCACCUCGUUUUGAAGUGGCUCUCCCGUAUGCAGAAUCAAACAUGAUGUUCUUUACUGGAGAAACCAAACUUUUUGUUUACUGAGGUCACAUGACGGGUAAGGUCAAAAAACCGCCAGCAGCGGACUGACAAACACACCCAAAUGGUACAUGAAUAAUCACAUUACAGAAGAAAAACUAAGAAUAGAGUUUCUAGACUCUACACAAGCUAUACCUGUCCCAAACACUGAACACUCCACACAAGCUAUACCUGUCCCAAACACUGAACACUCUACACAAGCUAUACCUGUCCCAAACACUGAACACUCUACACAAGCUAUACCUGUCCCAAACACUGAACACUCUACACAGCUAUACCUGUCCCAAACACUGAACACUCUACACAGCUAUACCUGUCCCAAACACUGAACACUCUACACAGCUAUACCUGUCCCAAACACUGAAC
This is a long non-coding RNA of Oncorhynchus tshawytscha (Chinook salmon), 1054 nucleotides long. Lineage: Eukaryota; Metazoa; Chordata; Actinopteri; Salmoniformes; Salmonidae. The record is from Ensembl.